UACGUAGGUGGCAAGCGUUGUCCGGAUUUACUGGGCGUAAAGGAUGUGUAGGCGGAUACUUAAGUGAGAUGUGAAAGCCCCGGGCUCAACCUGGGGACUGCAUUUCAAACUGGGUAUCUAGAGUGCAGGAGAGGAAAGCGGAAUUCCUAGUGUAGCGGUGAAAUGCGUAGAGAUUAGGAAGAAUACCAGUGGCGAAGGCGCCUUUCUGGACUGUAACUGACACUGAGGCUCGAAAGCGUGGGGAGCAAACAGGAUUAGAUACCCUGGUAGUCCACGCCGUAAACGAUGAGUACUAGGUGUAGGAGGUAUCGACUCCUUCUGUGCCGCAGUUAACACAAUAAGUACUCCGCCUGGGAAGUACGGUCGCAAGAUUAAA
Molecule: ribosomal RNA, 376 nt
Filed under: uncultured bacterium
Lineage: Bacteria
Description: bacterial SSU rRNA
Rfam family: Bacterial small subunit ribosomal RNA
Source: RNAcentral